AAUCUUCUCUACUUGAGAAACUGAAAACAGGUGUGCUUGAAUGGGGAAACAGAGAGCAUAUAGAAGGCAUCAAAAGUUUAGCUUCUUGUGGAGGGUUUGAAGUUAUCAUUGGGACAGAUGUUACCUAUGUAGCUGAAGCCAUUAUACCUUUGUUUGAAACUGCAAAAGAGUUGAUGUUGCGGAAAGUGGGAGAGGUUCAGGAGGAGAAGCCAGCGUUGAUUCUGUGCCAUGUUUUCAGAAGGGUUGAUGAGCCUUCUCUCUUGUCAGCUGCGUCUAAGUUUGGGUUCAAGCUUGUGGACAGAUGGGCUAUGAAUUCGAAGGAAUCUCCUGUUGGGAACAUCGUUGACCGUUGGUUUUACGAAAAUGAUUUGGUCGCGGAGAUCCCUAGUUCGGCUUUGCAUAUUCUCUACUUUCAGAUGGAGUAGCCUUGGAGAUUUGAUAAGCCAAGUUCUUAUGAUUUUUCUCCUGGAAUCUCGAUCAAUUGAGUUUUUCUAUAUAAUUUUCAUUAGUGAGUGGAUUGCGUUGGCUGAUCUUGUUUUGUUAUCUUGCAAGAAUCUGGCCUCUUUUAAGAAGGUGCCAGUAGAAUUACAGGGAAUAUAUUGCACUGAAUUUUCGAAGAUUUUUGUUUUUGACAUAUAAUUUCCAUUUUCCAAAAAUCAACCAUGAAGUUACAUGGGAUUGUAUCCAGUGCAUUGUUCUAAAAUUCGGUCAAUGCGGGAGUAUAAAAGCUGUAGAUACGCUGAACGGGCAGUCAUUGUACCGUUUCUACCUAUACGGUUUGAUCGUAAACCGGUUGAGUCGACUAUAGUUUUCUUUAAUUAUGACAUGCACAUAUUGUCUAAUCCGUAGUUAAAUAUAAAAGUCAAGUUAAAGAUAACGGCAACGUUUGAAUGCUUCCUUUAGCGCAUUUGUUAAACUUAAUUUUAUGCAGAAAAUAUAUGAGACACAUCACAUCCUUAUUAAUUCUAAGACAAAAUCAGCCAAAUAAAAAUUAAAAAUUUGCUUAAUUUGGUAUAUAUACAAUAGCUUUUACCUUUAUAUCAUAUAUAAUCAGCAUAUAUUAAAAUUUUCAAAAGAAAAUAUUCACCGUAUAUACCCCGCAUAAACUCUAAUAUACGAGGUAUACCCGGUGAAUACCCCGUUUAUACACUAUACGGUAGACUAGCGUAUAACGUAUUUUAGAACACUGAUCCAAUGUGCUCCAAUAGAAAGAGGCUCUAAGCAUAUACUUUAGCCUUGCCAAAUCAUUUGCAUGUGUAUUUGUGAUUAAGAAUGGUAUAACCAAAUUUGGUAGCGUUCUCUCUUGGCAUGAUGCAUAACCAUUGUAAGAUACAUGGGCAGGGGAUAAGUACUGUGAAUUACUCUAGUUGGUGAAGUAACAUAAAUGGUCGCGUGACCAUGUACUUGCUUUAAAUUCAGGAGAAAAGUGAUGUUUGUAAUUGAGUGCCAAAAAGUAGUGUACUUGUUUAAAAAUUCAGUAGCUGAACUUUAGAAUAUAAACUAAAUAUUUCGGGUCGGCUGGACCGGAUUCAAAUAUUCACUGGCUUUGUGGGAUGGGCAGAUGAAGAUUCCUCCGGGUUAUUCACCAAAACAGGAGGACACAUGUUCCAGAAAUGCUGCUUCAAAACUUAAACCCCUUUAUGAUCUCAAAUAAGCAUCGAGACAAUGGUUAUUGAAGUUCCGUACUCCCUACCUUAACUUGUUUGAGAUUUGUUCAAUUACAAUGUGUGACACUUGUUUUCUUGAAAACUAUUGAUAAUGUGUUUCUCUGUAUAUGUUGCGAUAUUGUAAUUGUUGACAACAGUGACAGCGGAUAACACAUAGAGAAGACUUACAAGAGUGGAAGAAGCCGACGUUUCAAAGUUCACACAAGACGAGAAAUUGCAUACAGAAUGUCAAUAUUGAUGUCUUACAAGCAAAUUCAUGACCCUUGAUUUGCCCUUUACAGACUUUUGAGGAAAGAUUUGUAACUCUGCCUUGAAUUCAAUUCAUACUAAGUCGACUUCAUCUUUUCCCGCAUCUUAUAUUGCAGUGUUGCAGGAGCACAAUCUAGUGGUGUUUCUCCUGGUGACAGGUAACAAGUUAUUCAGACAAAAACAAGAGCAAUUGUUCCCAUGUGGAAGAAAAGUUUUCACAAGAAAAAUGAAGACAAGUGUGUGUCACAUGAGAAGUACCUUGUGCAUUUUUGUAGUCAAGGCUGGCUCCAUGUUCCAUUAACAUCAACGCAAUAUCAGUUUGGUUGAACAGAACCGCCUGUGGAAAGCAAAGCAUUAUGUAAUUACCCACGCAAAUCGAUCACACAAGUGGCCAAGAGAGAGAGAGAUUACCAGAUGAAGCACUGACAUUCCCUGCUUGUCAUGGUAAUUUGCGUCCACGCCCUGAAAUUUUUAAUAGUUUUAGUCUCUCUGUAUUUGUGAGUUAUAUCACACAGUUGCUGAAUUGGACAAGGAGUAUUACCUCACUCAGAAGCUUUUUCACACCAGCAGUGUCACCAUUCUUAAUUGCUUCUCUUAAUCCCUUUUUCAAAACCAAAUAAGAUGAGAUUGAAAAUAUGAUUUAUCUCAUGAAAAUGAGAUGUAAAUAGUUACCUCCCCAGUGACUUCAUAGUCUUUUUGGGGCUUGUCUGGUCUGCGAAUUUCAACAGCUUUAAUUACUAGAAAGAUAUAGAAAAAUCAGUGUAACAGAAUGUUCUAAUCCUAGAAGCAACAAAGAAGACCGGAUGCAAGUUUUCUACACAACUAAUCACUCAUAAAAAUAUGAAAUGCAAGAGCAAACUCAGUUUCAUAUUUGAUUCAACUAAUCAAGUAAAAUCUAUAUGCAAAAAUGUACUUACAAGUAUCUAAAGCGCUUAUGGAGUAAUCUUUAUGUGAAAACCUUGUAAUGAAUACUAUAAGUAAAUUCUUCAAACAGACCUAGCAUUGGUGCUGGAAGUGGAACCUUUACUUUUAGCUGAAGUGUCAGACUUUGGUUUGGGAUCUGACUGAGGAAGAGCCAUAGGAGGAGCCCGUGUAGCCUGUUGUUCCAAAAGGGAGGAACAUAUUAUAGAUAAGAAGAGUAAGCAAGAAAACUCUCUCUCUCUCGCAUGAACUUAAAUCAAGAACAGAGAACAACACUCCAUAAGCCCAACUCAGUGCAUUGAAAUUUGUAUUACCUGUGGGUUAGAGGUUUUGGGUGGAGCAACAACACAGAUGCAAAGAGGCAUACCACACUUGCAUUCCACUGCUUCACUAUCUCCGGGGCCCAUCUCGAAAUUACUUGAGUUAUUAUUGCCUGUGUGAAUCAUAUUGCUCUCCCAAAAUCAAGAUUACAUACUUCAUUUUAAUCAAAACAAAUCUGAUAUCAAAAUGAAAUCACAAGAGUUAAACCAUUCCAAAGGAAAUCAAAGAAAAUACAAUCGGAGGAUUAGCGAACCUGAUGGUUGAGGGAAGUUGAGACAGACAGGGCACACGAAGCGAUCUAGAGAAGUCAAGAGAAGGAAAUAAAAGAACACAAACUACAUUUUCUUUCCCUUUAAUCUUUUUUGGUUAUUAUAUUUUCGGCCCCAUAUGUUUACAAUACUUACAAAAUAUCCUUACUACAUUUAUGCUUUCCUUGGGGUUCCAUUGGAAAAUAAAAGUAUGAAUACAUUUUUAGUUUUAUACCCAGCAGUUAUUGCGCUAAUGUAUAAAUUUUGGCACAUAGUAAAAUAGAUAAAUAAGAAAUUUCUCUCGUUUUCUUUGCUAGGCAAUUCUAGAUCUAACGAAUUAACUAACGACCUUAAUCAAAAAAUUUAUCAACAAACGGAUUCUAAAAAACGAGAUAUAGAGAGCUUUGCAAGAUUAGAGAGAGCUUGGGAAAAACAAAUAUACAUGAUCGGUGCAUAAAAGUUACUUUACCAAAAGUGUGGGCCACAAUGUGUGGCACCUAGUAGAAAAGGUUGAAGGUCAGCUCAACGAUGAUGGCACCGUCAACUUCUACUAUGAUACAAAACACAACCUCAACUUCUGCUUCAAUUUUUUUUUUUUAGUUCUAGAUUUUUAAUAAUCUUAUGUAUGUAUAUAUAUAUGGAUAUGCGGUCACAAAUAAUGGGCUUUAAUUAUGUAAGUAAAAGAGUAAAUAAAAAGAAGUAAAAAUAUGAUGUCAAGUGGUAUAUAACCCAGGUUAAGGGGUGUCAGGCAUAAGGAAAAUAGCCAUCAGAGCUGAUGAAUUUCUAAUGUUUAAUUCGUAACAAACUUAUUUCUUAUAUUGAAGGUGUGUUAGGUUCAUGGGUCUGCCUCUGUUCCAACAUGUACCCGCUUCCUAAUUUUUUUUAAAAUCUCGUUUCCGCUUCCGCGUAUCCGCUUCCGUUUUCAUGUAAAAUAGAUUUUAGUCACUUAAUAUUAGAUAAAGUUCAUGGAAAUGAAAAAUAUCAAAUUCAAAAAUAUAAAAUAAACAGUCUAUCAGUUAAACUUGCUUUGUGCUUGAGCCAAAAAAGAAACAUGAAUCUUCUUGAACCUGGACAUUUUUAGGAGAUAUGUAGUUUCCUGGAGUUGCUAAAAAAAUGUAGUUUCCUGGAAAUCUUUUUGGUGGCUUGAUAGAUGCUGAUAUCACCCAUGAACUAAAUAUGAAAAAUUGGAGUUUGAAUGCAAAAGAUUUCAAAUAAGAUAAUUAUGAAAAAUGUUGGUGCAUGAUAUGACGUUUUUAAUGUCUUGUAGAUGAUCUAAUAUUUCUCCUGGCUUUUGUCUUCGGAGUCUUGAUAACUUAUGGCUUUGUAAUGAACUAUGUACCCUUACUUCUAAAAAGAAGAAGAAAAAAAUCUGUUUAUUACAUUAAUUUUCUAUUCAAAAAUGAAAUAAUAAGUGGAUUUACUCCAAAAAUGAAAUAAUCAUAUUCCCUAUUCUAUUUGUACUUAUUAUUCGUAAACUAGAAUAGUAGCAAAACUCAGUUCCAUUUCAGAAAAUCAAUUUUGAAGUUGCACAUCAUAUUGUAGGUUUGGUAAGUUCACCAAAUGUUAUGGAGGUGCAACUCGACCAAAAGACAUAUCAGUGGUUUCAUAAAUGGAAAAAGUUGAAAAUAUAGGGGCAAAAAUACAAUAAACUGAAAAUCGAAAGAAAAAAAGAAAAGAGAAGAAAAGAAAAGUGUUUCCGUUUCUCGUUGUGCAUCUCUCCUCCUCCUUAUCGCUAUCGCAUCUUUUCUAACUCCGUCUCCCAUUCAGGUCCGAUUCAUCGCUAACUAUAUUUCCGUAAAAUUUACAGUUGUCAACUAUUGAGUAUUUUCUUUUGCUCUGUUUGAUUGGAUUCUCCAAAUUUGCAAUCCAAUUUACUAAAAUAAUUUUUGGUCUUGUGAAGAUACGGUGUGUGAUAUAAUGUCUUCUGCUACUGAAACCGUAGAAGAGCAGCAAAAGCUUCAGAUUUAUCCGACGUCUAAAGCUGGUGUUUCCCCCUUUUGGCGAGGUUCUUAAAGCGUAACUAUUUAGCUGAUUUUGCAAAUGGCAAUUGCUCCUUGUAUUUAAACUGUUUUCUUGUCUUUCAGACAAGUAUGAAAGAGAUGCUAAAAAGUAUUGGGAUAUAUUUUACAAGCAUCAUGGAGAUAGAGUAAGCCCCCUUUUUAUUUUUAUUUUUAUAGUUCAUUUCUAUCUCAAUUCACAUGUAACUGAACUAAAUAGCUAGAGAUUGUUUUGUACUAUAAGACUACAACAUUGGUUGAUUUUGGUGUCUGAAGAUUAAAAUGACCUUCCAAAUCUUUAAAGGUCUCAAGAUCUGAAAUUGGUGAUUAUUGAUAUGUUUGAGGGCAUUGCUUUGUUUGUAUGUUUUGAGCUAACGCGAGUGUGAGCUCACUGUGCAAGUGAUAUUACUGUCGUUUACUUGACAUUCUCUUGUUUUUUUUAUCAGUUUUUUAAAGACCGGCACUAUUUGGACAAGGAAUGGAACAGCUAUUUUUCUGUGAGUAGUAAAGCCAAUUCUUCUGGUAUCUGCUCCAUUACCUAUUCUAGUCCUGAGUUUGUAUUAUUCUCCUUUUUUUCUUCAGGCUAGUGGAGAAAAGGUCAUUCUUGAGGUAAUCACGAAUCCUCAAGCUAUUCCUAAUAUAAAUCCUAAAUGGCUAGAUAAAGAGCUUUUGUAGAAUAGUAUUCUGAGCAAUUCUGGUCUUGAUUUUGCAGGUUGGAUGUGGAGCGGGAAACACCAUCUUUCCGCUGAUUGCUACAUAUCCACACAUAUUUGUUUACGCUUGUGAUUUUUCACCACGCGCUGUUGACUUGGUCAAGGUCGGUCUUCAUUCCUCGUUUUAUGUUUUUGCUUUUCUUUCAUUGAUUUCUCUUUGCUAGUGAGGUCAAUGAUGUAAGCUUUUAAACGUAUUAAAUGGUGUACGGUUUGACGUAUGCUUCACAAUUUUUUUUGUUUACUGGCAUAUGUUGAAACUUGAUCAGAGAGUGUCAUGUAACUUCAGGCUCAUGAAGAAUACACAGAGACGCGCGUGUGUGCAUUUGCUUCCGACUUGACCGGGGAUGACCUUGACAAGCAUAUUUCUCCAUCUUCAGUUGACAUUGUGACCAUGGUAAUUUCAUAACAAAAAUAUAGUAUAUUACUGUGUUAUUUAUUUACUAGCUAGAAUUUUAUAUUCUUUAUAGAUAUCUUAAUUGAUUGACUAUCUUUUUUGUUUCUUAGAGCCUUUUCCUUUCUCAUCAUGAACUAUUUACAUCUCAUGUGUUGAGCAGAUAUUUGUUUUAUCUGCGGUAUCCCCAGAGAAGAUGCCCUUCGUAUUGCAGAACAUCAAGAGAGUACUUAAGGUAUCAAUCAAAUUUGUUCUAAUCCCCAGAGAAGAUGCCCUUCCUUUACCAUCUUGUUGUUCUUUUGUUUUUCAGCCAAAUGGGUGUAUACUCUUCCGUGACUAUGCUGUUGGUGAUCUUGCUCAGGUUUGAUCCCUUUUAGUUAUUUCCAUCGUUGUAUUAUUGAAAUUCAGCAAAAACACUGAUCAAUACAUCAUAAAUUGUAUAAACAUUGGAACGUUACGUUACAAGAGAAUUAUUAAAUUUGUAGUCUGGCUUUACCUUUUGAGAAGAACAAUCAGUUUUUUUAUGUGUUUUAGUGUAUGUUUUAACAGGAAAGGUUUUCUGGGAAGGAUCAGAAGAUUAGCGACAAUUUUUAUGUCAGAGGCGAUGGCACUGUAAGUUCUUUCCUUCCUUUUCUCUUUUAAAGUAUGCAUUUAUUUAUUUUUGGCAGAACUGUGACGAUUUUUUACCUCUCUACGCAGCGUGCAUUCUACUUCUCUAAUGAGUUCUUAGAAACUCUGUUUGGGAAGGAAGGUUUUGAAGUUGAAGAGAUUGGUGUUUGCUGCAAACAAGUUGAGAAUCGUUCGCGAGAACUGGUCAUGAAUCGUCGCUGGGUCCAAGCUACUUUCCGUCUAUCAAACGGCACUAAAAACCCAUCUGAGGAGCAAGAAAGAAAAGAGAUUGUUGAUAGUACCGACAUUGACAUAUCCGAUGGUCUUGCAAUGGAAAUGUUCGGAGCCUCCCCAUCUACUCAUGAUGUAAAGUAAUCUCAUUGGUUUCACAUAUUUUGUCCAAAACUUGUAAAGUUCUCAUCUCUCUUUUUUGUUCUAUGGAUAGAUGAGCGAGUUUAAGCUAAGGGACUCUGCUUUCAAAAUCAAACUUCUGUCCAAAGAGUAUCAACACACUUGCAAAUCCACGGGGUUGAUGCUAUGGGAGUCAGCUCGGUUCAUGGCCUCUGUUCUCGACAGGAACCCAAACAUUGUUUCAGGAAAACGGGUGUUGGAAUUGGGCUGUGGCUGCACAGGGAUUUGCUCCAUGGUAGCCGCCAGAUCAGCUGACCUCGUAGUAGCUACCGAUGCAGACACAAAGGCACUUGCACUACUAACGGAGAACAUCGCAACGAAUCUCGAAUCUUCUCUACUUGAGAAACUGAAAACAGGUGUGCUUGAAUGGGGAAACAGAGAGCAUAUAGAAGGCAUCAAAAGUUUAGCUUCUUGUGGAGGGUUUGAAGUUAUCAUUGGGACAGAUGUUACCUAUGUAGCUGAAGCCAUUAUACCUUUGUUUGAAACUGCAAAAGAGUUGAUGUUGCGGAAAGUGGGAGAGGUUCAGGAGGAGAAGCCAGCGUUGAUUCUGUGCCAUGUUUUCAGAAGGGUUGAUGAG
RNAcentral lists this long non-coding RNA (8104 nucleotides) under Brassica napus (rape). RNAcentral's name for it is "long non-coding RNA (BNAP_LNC016291)". The record is from RNAcentral. Lineage: Eukaryota; Viridiplantae; Streptophyta; Magnoliopsida; Brassicales; Brassicaceae.